This 497-nucleotide ribosomal RNA is filed under the name uncultured bacterium. RNAcentral describes it as "partial 16S ribosomal RNA". It matches the Rfam family "Bacterial small subunit ribosomal RNA", at positions 28 to 507 of the family's 1533-position model. The record is from RNAcentral.
GAUGAACGCUGGCGGCGUGCCUAAUACAUGCAAGUCGAGCGAACGGACGAGAAGCUUGCUUCUCUGAUGUUAGCGGCGGACGGGUGAGUAACACGUGGAUAACCUACCUAUAAGACUGGGAUAACUUCGGGAAACCGGAGCUAAUACCGGAUAAUAUUUUGAACCGCAUGGUUCAAAAGUGAAAGACGGUCUUGCUGUCACUUAUAGAUGGAUCCGCGCUGCAUUAGCUAGUUGGUAAGGUAACGGCUUACCAAGGCAACGACGCAUAGCCGACCUGAGAGGGUGAUCGGCCACACUGGAACUGAGACACGGUCCAGACUCCUACGGGAGGCAGCAGUAGGGAAUCUUCCGCAAUGGGCGAAAGCCUGACGGAGCAACGCCGCGUGAGUGAUGAAGGUCUUCGGAUCGUAAAACUCUUUUAUUAGGGAAGAACAUAUGUGUAAGUAACUGUGCACAUCUUGACGGUACCUAAUCAGAAAGCCACGGCUAACUACGUG